CUGAUGCUUUAUUAUAUUUUUCUACUACAGAUGGUAAACUGAAGCAGCAUUAGUCACUUUAUUGUUUAGAAAGGAGGUUGGAAAACUAUCCCCAUAACAUAAUUUUAAUCCAUAUGAAUAUAUAAAGUAUGCCUUUUCUGUGGAUGUGCUUUGCUUUGUAGAUCUGCCUACCCAGACUCCUUGAGAAAACUUUUGUUAAUAUGGGCCCAUUUGAACUCUGCUUCAAUGGAUUUCAAUGGUGCUAGCAGUUUCAUUUGAUUUUGUGUUUCAUUUCCUCCUAUUAUGUAAGCCUGCUAUGACUUAAUGGCAUACUCUUGUGUUUUUCUGUUGUGAUGGCAGAUUUACUCUUCAUAAAUUGCUUUAACUAUCCUGAUGUGUUUCUCUUCUAUAACUUAAAAUAAACCAGUUUACAAUAAGAAAAGGAAGAGAAAGGACAGAAAACCAACAGUACACAGUAGUAAAGUUGUGAGUGGACAAAUGGACCACUACGAAAGAACAAGGCAAAUAUCCAAACUCCAUUAAAUUGGAGAAUACAGCUAAAGACAAACCGUAGUGAAGGAAGUCUUACAGUGUGGAGAAAGUUCUUUGACAUAAAAUCAUGAUUUGGCAUCAAAGAAAUUCAAAUACUGCUGUUAAAACAGAAGAUCUAAUCCAAUGAUGGGGGAAAACCACCCCUCGACAUAUCUCAUCAUGCACAAUACAGAAGAGUGCAACACAAAGGAGAGGGGAAACAAUCUUGAAAUCAGGCAAAAAAAUCUAGGCAGCUAGAAAGUUGAUGAGAUUACAGUCAACUUCAUACUAAUAAUUGUUCAAUGCUGGUAUUUGGACAUGCUUUGCAAAAUAAGGUAUCAGCUGGUUAAGAACAAUUAUUCACUUCCAAUAUUUUUACAUAUGAACAUCAUGUGACAUUCACUAGAAACCCAACAUUUUAUAAAUCAUUCUAAAUUUCAAUAUCAGAGAAAGUUACAGAAACAGGAAAAUUAAGCAAUUUUAAAAUACUAGAGUUUACAGACAACCGCAAAGAUACUUUCUCUAAUCAAGAUACAGUACUUCCUUAAAGCUUGUGAGUCCUUUGUUUUUGUUAAUUCCUUUUAUCUUUACUCAUUGAACCUCCAUAUCCUUUGAAAAAACAAACAAUGUCCUUUGGCUCUAUAUUCAAACUCAAUUGUUUCAAUACCCAGAUUCAGAAGAGAAUUUUUCUGUUCAUCCCUGCCAAUGUUCACAAAUAACUAGUGCUAAACAAAGUGGUAGUGAAAGGUUUGGCUACUUAGCCUUUUUUUGAGACUCCACCAUCCUUCACCUCUUAUGACAUUUCAUAGCUCUACUACAUGCCGAAGUGGUCUCUCCACUAACAAUUUUAGUGAAUAAUAGGAAUUGCUGACUGGCAGCCGGCAUUCUUACCCACUAUCUACCCUGCUCAGAGCAAGUAUUACAUUCUGAUUAUUAGAUUAAACAAACAACCCAACAGCCUUCCUCUAACCCCACUCUUAAAAAAACCUUAAAUCUUGGACAAUAACAAAUUUGUACUUAUCUUAAAAAUCUGCAGUAAUUAAAACAAACACACUGGAAUGUUAUUUACUUAUUUAUGAGAAGUCAAUCUGUUCAAUUUUAAAGGAGUAGUGGGGGAAAAUAAUCAAUUGUGUGUCAGCAGCAGAUUAAGGAAAUGUUGCAGAAAAUACUCAAUAUCUUCCUCACUGUUCUAAACUCUAAAAUCACUCACAUGGGUGAGCAAUAACAGGAGCAGAACAGGAGCAGAACUUCUGGGCUUGAAAAGCAUUUAACAAUUACAUUUUUUUAUACUGUGGGUGAUCUUGAAAUGAUCAGCAUUAAGAAAUUCUAAACAUACAAGAAAAGAAAAGAGCAAGCAAACAAAGCAUCAAUUUUUGGUAGACUGCUUUUCAGGGGAUAGGGCUAAUCAUGCUACUUUUAUAAUGUUUGUGUUUCUUUAAAAUUAUUAUGCAGAAAGCAACAGAACAAGCACAAAAGGCAUUUUAUAAAAUAAACUCUGAUACUGGCAUGCAAUUGUAUGACAUGGCCUGUCUUUGGACUCUCUGAUACACUAAGAGAGAUGCAGUAGAGAGCAUUAUACCAUUAAAAACCACCACAGAAUCAUUACUUUUUGCAAGUUUUGGGACUGCCUUUCAAAGGCACAAAAGGGAGUUUGGGUCCAACUUCCAUUGCCUUUCCAUGGGAGUUGGGUGUCUCAUUGCCUUUUGCGCCUUUGAAAAGCUCCCCAUAUGUUUUGUGGGGUGGGUAUUCAUAGCUUUUUUUCUGAAUCCCUAAAGAAGAGAUUCAAGACCUUUGUGGUAAGGACCAUGACACCUGGUCAAAGUGAAGCUGUUAAAUGUGGUUACUGUUCUGGUGGCAAUAAGCAAACAGCCAUACAAUUCAUGACUUAACUAUUAGCUGUUUACCCAGAUUUAAUUUGAAUGCAUGUAAUGUUGGCUGCACUCAACUCACAAAGGUGUUAAUACUAUACAGAACAACUCCACUGCAAGAACAAACAGCAGCCCUUGAAUUCAGAGCCCAGAAACGUUUCUGACCUCAGCCAUUUUAUUUGCUUAGUGAGAUCAGAAAAGAGAUACUACUAAAUUUGGUAUCCUUUUCAGUAUUCUAAUGAGAUACUACUAAGAGACUAACAAUACUCAUGUAGUAACAGACCAUCAACAGCCAUGCUGGCUUUAUUAAUUUUGUAGGCUAAAGGACUGUCUUUGUACUGAAUGGUGCAUUAUUGCAAUAAUUAGAGAUAAGGUUUUCUCAAUCCUGGCUCCUGUUCAAAAGAAAUUGGCUUGGAAUCCCUAGAUUAUGCCAUUCUUUCACUUUUAGUUGUAAUGUGCGAACCUCUUACAGGUGAAGGGUUAUAGUGAUGAGUAUAACAAUUGUACAGUACUAAAAGUCAGAGAAAAGAUGUGAGCAUACUUUGAUGGAUCACGGCUAACAUUGAAAAACUCAACUGCAGAGAAAUGCCACUUUUACCACUGGGCAUUGUAGGGGGCCAUCAAAUCAGAGAGAGUAAGUGAGGGGAAAAAAGGGUUAACCACCUCAGGACACAUAUUUUAAUGCUAGAAGGCAUGUAAAUAACACAGGACAUAAGAACAUAAGAAGGGGGAAGGAUCACUUGAUUGCCUGCUCUGUUCAUUCCCUCUGGGGAACCUGGCAUUGGCCACUGUCGGAAGACGGAAUACUGGGCUACAUGGAUCUUUGGUUUGACCCACUAUGGCUGUUCUUAAAGCAGUAAGUGUGAAUAUAUUCUGCUUUCACUUUAAAGUUAUCUUUUUUGGACUGAAGAUGGAAAGAAAUAACUAAAAAAAUAUGACUGUGCAGACAAAACACAUUACAUUUCCCCACAAUCACCCUAUUUCCCUUGGCAGAUGAAUUUAUUUUGGGUGGAAAUAUUAUAGUCAUUUUGUUGGUACAAGCAAUAUUUGUUUAAAUGGGAACCUUGCAUAAUUUUUAAUUAUGCAUAUUUAAUAUUAUCCAAAGUGGGUCAUCCACUCAGUCAAAACUGAGUGAAAAAGGGGUUAAAAUUAUGGAAGAAUGCAAAGGGAGAACUAGUCAGAGUCUUCUCCAGGAACUGAAAUUAGAGGAGGUGUUUGUUGUCUGAGGCCCUGAUCCUGCAACUGCCUCUAUGCAAACAGACCCCAGCACCUGUGCAGAGUCCCACUGACUUCAGUGAGCCUCUCUGCAGACACAGGGGUCUGCCCACACAGUCAGUUGGAGGUUCAGGCCCGAAAUGUUGUGCUUCUCAGCUCAUGGCAAAGGACCUUCCUAUUUCUGCUUUAAAUGGCACACGGGAAGCAUGUCAUUCUAAUCUGCGCUUCAAAAGCACAGCAUAGGGGUAAAGCCUGAAGAACAUAGUUCAGCACCAUUAAUUCAGUAUGGAAGGGAAGCUGGGAUUUUCAGACUCAAUCUGCAUUUGGUGGCUUUGGCAGUAUCACCAACUUUGACACAAGUAUUGCCUAGAUAAUGUCCUCACAGUGCUUGGCAGUUUGAAGAGGAUGAAGCACUAAUGGGCAUCUUAUUAAUUUUAGUGAUACCAAUUACCACCCCUAUGAAUCCUAAUACCCUCCACAAACAUGACAUUUAAAAUAAUAAUAAAUAAAUAUAACCCCAAAACAUUUAUUUAACCCCUCCUCUCUUAAAUCAGAGCAGUUUUAGGGGCAUCAACUCCACUCAAAACUUCACAAAUCCCUUGGGAUGGAGGUAAAAGGAAAACUGCUUUUUAAACACCUGAGACCUGGACUGUAAAAACUUUAAUGGUUACUUGUUUGCUUUUGGAACCCUAUCCUGAGAAUUGGUGAAAUCUAUCCCCACAUAUCAAUAACCCAUUGGAUGUAAGGAAAGCAGUGUAUCCAAAGCAUACAAUGGCACGUCUGAUCAAAACACUGUUAAAGGAGGAUGAAACUACAACAGCUGUGCUGCCUGCUUCAUCUAACUGCUGAGCCACUGUAGAACUCAGCUCCUCCUCCAGCCCAACACAAAAGCAAAAUUGUGUCACCUCACCUCCAUGACAUUACCUAGUGGUACAUUACUGGCACUUUUUCUAUCAGUCUCAUAUGGUAGAUACACACACAUCUGUCUGUGUGUUUACAUACAAAAGGUCUGAUAACAAUAAUAUAUUAUACACACACACGUGUAUGUAUAUAUAAAAAACCCAAGGAGUUGCAUUAGCCAAAAAAAAGUGUUUUGUGAGAAACAACAAUAAAAAUGAUAUCAUGACCACAACUUUUCUUUUAAAAUUAAUAGAUACCCAAAGCUAUGAUUUUAUUUGGGGCCUUUGUACCUAGACAGGGAGUCCAAUGGAGUAUAUCUGAAGGCACUUAAUAUGCUCCACUCAGCUGAAAGAGGGUUACACAGGGAGCUGGGGAGUUUUGGAAGAGGGCUAAAGGGCAUAGAGGAGAGAGACAGAUGAAAAUGAGCCCUGAAUAACUGUGAUCCACACAGCAUCAGGUGCUAACAUGAAAACAAACAACCCAGAUGUUGAGAAGGUCUUUCUUCAAAAAAAGAAAGCAGCCAAUUGCAAAUGUCUUUGUGUUUCUAUGGACUGAGCACAUCAUGCAGCUCUGUCACUGCAUCAUACACUCUUAGAGAUAUUUAACUUUGUCAGUUCAUUGACCUCCUCAGUUUCUGCUUCCUCACAAUCAUUCUUUACAGCUUUGCCAAACCUGCACCUGUCUUCCGCUUUCACUGACUCUUUUUGGAGCUUCUUGUAGUAUGGAAGCAUAUCCUUGGGUUCUAAGUUGUUAUCUGAGCCCUGGGAUGUCUUGUCAGAAUUCUGUACAGAAGGCACCAGAUUGGCAAUCUCAUCGGUAGGAGACCGCCCAA
Molecule: long non-coding RNA, 5325 nt
Organism: Dermochelys coriacea (leatherback sea turtle)
Lineage: Eukaryota; Metazoa; Chordata; Testudines; Dermochelyidae
Exons: 2
Source: RefSeq, a predicted model, not a curated record